Molecule: ribosomal RNA, 301 nt
Filed under: uncultured bacterium
Lineage: Bacteria
Description: partial 16S ribosomal RNA
Rfam family: Bacterial small subunit ribosomal RNA
Source: RNAcentral
CAGUCGCCGCGGUAAUACGGAGGGUGCAAGCGUUAUCCGGAUUUAUUGGGUUUAAAGGGUCCGUAGGCGGACUUAUAAGUCAGUGGUGAAAGCCUGUCGCUUAACGAUAGAACUGCCAUUGAUACUGUAAGUCUUGAGUAUAUUUGAGGUAGCUGGAAUAAGUAGUGUAGCGGUGAAAUGCAUAGAUAUUACUUAGAACACCAAUUGCGAAGGCAGGUUACCAAGAUAUAACUGACGCUGAGGGACGAAAGCGUGGGUAGCGAACAGGAUUAGAUACCCGCGUAGUCCCUGUCUCUUAUAA